Molecule: ribosomal RNA, 497 nt
Filed under: uncultured bacterium
Lineage: Bacteria
Description: partial 16S ribosomal RNA
Rfam family: Bacterial small subunit ribosomal RNA
Source: RNAcentral
GAUGAACGCUGGCGGCGUGCCUAAUGCAUGCAAGUCGAGCGAACGGACGAGAAGCUUGCUUCUCUGAUGUUAGCGGCGGACGGGUGAGUAACACGUGGAUAACCUACCUAUAAGACUGGGAUAACUUCGGGAAACCGGAGCUAAUACCGGAUAAUAUUUUGAACCGCAUGGUUCAAAAGUGAAGGACGGUCUUGCUGUCACUUAUAGAUGGAUCCGCGCUGCAUUAGCUAGUUGGUAAGGUAACGGCUUACCAAGGCAACGAUGCAUAGCCGACCUGAGAGGGUGAUCGGCCUCACUGGAACUGAGACACGGUCCAGACUCCUACGGGAGGCAGCAGUAGGGAAUCUUCCGCAAUGGGCGAAAGCCUGACGGAGCAACGCCGCGUGAGUGAUGAAGGUCUUCGGAUCGUAAAACUCUGUUAUUAGGGAAGAACAUAUGUGUAAGUAACUGUGCACAUCUUGACGGUACCUAAUCAGAAAGCCACGGCUAACUACGUG